CGGGGCGGGGCCGCGCGUGCGCGCAGUUCGAACGGGAUGGCGGCUGAGGCGGCGGGAGGGAUGUCUGCGCUGGCGAACGACAGUGGUGCUACGGUGGCGCGCGGAGAAGCGUCGGAGAAUAAGCGGAAAGGAGGAAGAGUCGUCAAGUCUCGCUACCUGGACUACGAUAAGAAAGAUGCCAAGAAGGAUAAUUCUGCAAGUUCCUUUUCAACGUCCGUUGUUAAACCAUCUUCUGGAACUAAACCAAGAUCAGCUCUUCCUCAGAAAAGUAAAAAACCUGCUGAUGUUGCCUCUCACUCAUCGAGUCAGAGUAGUUUUGAGAAAGGUGACUUGCAGUCCACUUUAUUAGAUGAAGACAAAAUUAGUCGACCAGACCUUGAUAUUUCAGCCAUUAGCGAUAAAAGCGUCCGCAAAAAGACUUCUGCUUCAAAAUCUGCUUGCAAAAGAAAUACAAGGCCACAACAAAAACCCAAAGAAGAGGGAAAUGAUUGUGAUUCUCUGAUGGAAGAGCUGGAAUCUCAGACACUGCUUUUAACUUACCUAAGAAUAAAGGCAGAAAAAAAUCUUGCCAUGCUGGAGAAGAAAGCAGAAGAAAACUUAAUAAUGCUGUGUGAAGAAAAGGAGAGACAACAGGAGAAGCUCUGCGAGUUAAAGCGUGAAAUUCUCCUCAAAGAGAGAGAGCAGAAACUUGACGAGGCGUUGGAUAAACAGAUGGAAGUACUUUCUCCCCUUGUUCCUGUUUGUGAGCAGUUUAAAGAGCAAUAUAAAAGCUUUGCGGUUUCCCUGGAUGCCACUAGGCAUGAAUUACCCAUAAAGAAUAUUCACAUAGAAGGAGAUAUGCUAACGUACCUUGAUCUAUCUGUGGCCACUGGAGGAACAGCGUGUGCUCUUAGUGCUUGUACAGACACUGGGCUGCAAUAUUAGUCAUGUUUUUUGCACACUUCCUUUAACAAGUUUCUGUAUCUUUUACUUGUAUUCAUGGCACUCGUCCUCCUCUCUUCUUCCAAACAGAUGAACUGCGGAAGCAGUUAACCAUCACACAGGAACUCGUGUCAGAAGUUAUGCCAAGCUGCGCCGGAGAUGGUGCGGAAACAUUUCGUGUACUGGAAGACCUUAAAGAAGUUUCUCAGAAACUGGAUAAAGAGCUUCAAAGGAGCUUCAAACAAGUGCAGAACCUGUCAUUUGAAGUUAGUAAAGAAGUUUCUCUGCAUAACCAAAGAAUAUGCGAAGAGAAACAUGGACUAGAUGUUGUGAAACGCUGGUACUUCGACUGAGUUUGUGUGUUGUUUUGCUGACGAGCGGGUGCUAAAUCAAUGCCAGCGUACUUCCUGGACGGACAUAGAACUUGUCCUAAUUUUCAGUUAUACCAGAAUACGAAACCAGCAGCAUGUCUACUUACUAAUGUGAGAAAUGCGGUUUUCUUCUGUGUGCUGUCCCAUAAGGAGACAUUUUAACACGAACUUCUGUGACACCUUUCUCAUCACCUUCUGCCUUGACAAUACUGAAAGGUAAAUCAGAGGAAACGUUAUUCUUAGCAAAUGGGACAUCUGUAUUCUUAAAUUUAUUAAUUUACUUCCUUGGAACUGGCUUCAAGUGCACUGCUCUGUAUCUCUCUCCAAAGUAGUGUUCCUUAGAGGGCAGCGUAUCACGAUGUAGGUGUGGAAUUGUGUAGGUGGGGCUGUGCCUGUGCCGAUCUCAUCGGGAGGAUCUGUAGGAUCAUUGGUCACUCAGUGAAGAGCUUCUGGAGGAACUCUAAUUGUCCCUUAUUUCUGGAUUUACUGGGAGGAAAACCUGCGAGGGGAGUAAAUAAUGAGGGCUGAUGAUUGGAAGGAGCCUGGUCACUUGUAACAAGUGAAAAGUUUUGGUAACUUGUUGCCUAAUGGUCUUGGAAACAAUUAAUUAAAAUCGGAAAUGCUUUUGUAUUAAACUGACACUUUCUCUUAAAGAUUUUAUUUAUUCUUUUUCAUAAUAAAGACUUAUUUUCCAGUGUUA
Columba livia (rock pigeon) is the source of this 1992-nucleotide RNA transcript. It is a transcript of the gene named HAUS augmin like complex subunit 8, with no coding region annotated. The record is from RefSeq and is a predicted model, not a curated record. The transcript has 12 exons. NCBI's taxonomy places the organism in Eukaryota, Metazoa, Chordata, Aves, Columbiformes, Columbidae.